AAUGUGAGGCGCGGGAAGUGUGGGGGAAGUGUGGGGUGCGCGGCCUGGAUUUAUAGAGAGAAACUUUAUUUUGCCCAAAAUAAUACUAGCAUUUUAAACACACAUAAUGAAAACGUCAUAAUUAGACGACGUAGUAUCGCUGGUAGGUAACUAAAGUUUUAUCACAGAAAUGUCAUCUAUAGGCCUUGUGGAUGAGUUAAAUUAAAAUCGUUGAAAAACUAAACUUCAUUAUGAUUUAAAGGAUCCUCAGUUAAGUCAAUGUAAGAAGAAGAAGAGAAAAAACACAGGUCUUAACGUCUUAAUGGAACUGGAAAAGCAAGGUAUUGGUGCAGUGAUGUACAAAUAUUCACCGUAUGGAAGUGCUUCUUAACAUCAGUGAAUUAUUGUAAUGUGAUGUAGCCUAAUGUUGUCUGUCAUAUUGUACACCAUGGGGUCGCCAACUGGCCUGCUUUGCCUGGCCUGUCAGAUCAUUUUGACUUUUUGCUUUCUGUCAACUUAUUAAGCAUCUUAACAAGAUUAGAUCUGAGUAUUCAUCUCCUGUUCCGCCUGCAUUGUCUAAUCGCUCAGGCUCAUCCCCCCUGCUGACCUCUGUUGUACAGUCUUGAUGUAACCCUUAACUCUAUGUACAUAUUCUGUUUGUCAUAGGAUCAUGUCAGCUGAACUCAAUUAAUGAAACCAGGAAUGAAGUAAGAUCCACUAAUGCAAUAAACUGUCUGCACUUAAUGUUCUACCUACAAUUAAAGUUUUUAUUUCCUUACUCUAUAGUAUAGGGAUAGAUACAGCAAUAUAUUCCUGUAAUCUAUCAGCUGUAAGCUUUGUACCCUCUAACUGGCUUCUGUAUUUGCCCAGGUGUAUGUGAGUCCGUUUUUUUUUUUUAAUGGAAUUUUUAUUUUCGGUGCCAUCACCCAUCUUGUGAGCUGUUGAGGGAGAACAACCACAGGCUGCAGAGGGAAAAUGAUUCUCUCAAGGCAAAAAUAGCAACAUUGAAAUGUAAUGCUAUUGUUGAAAACUUUGUUUUUUUUUACACAAGGGUUUUUCUGUUUUACAUGUUAGCUAAAAGGCUAUUAUGAAUCCUUUGCUCAGUGCUGCCAGACGUUUUGCAGAAGAUGGAGGAGUUUCUCCGCUCAGCACCAAGACCAACGACAACACCAAUACCAACACCAAGACCAUGACCAAGACCAAGACCAGAACCAACACUAUCACCAGCACCAACAGCAGUUCCAGCACCAGCAACAGAAGACCCAUCACCAGCACCAGGUCCAUCAUCAGCAUCAGCAACAGAGGCCCUGGGCCACUCUGUCAUUCCAAAAGGACUUGUGGAGCGCUGCUCCUUCCAAAGCCCCCAGAAGUUCAUAAAUGAUCUCCUACAUGGGAUGUAUACCAGGGAAUAUAUGGCAGGCCAUUCAGUGACUGGCCAGUCACCUAGCAGCUGCACAGAAGGAAAACCUGGCCUAGCCCAACAAGACCUUGUUGAAAUAACAAAUGCUGCAAAGUUGAAGUUCACCUACGUAACUGAUACGAACAUAAAAGCAUUUAUACGACAAAAGCUGAACAAUGCUGCCAAAUUUCAGAAACAAUAAAUUAUCAACUGUUUAAAGAAAGUUCAACUUUUGUUCUAUUUUUUUUUGUAUUUUAGCAGUCUGUAGAAAACACUGUGUUAAUGGUGGUUGUAAGCCUAAUUUAUGUGCGGUGAAUUAUUGUUACAGCACUAUGGUUAAAAAUGGCAACAACAAAAAGUGAUACAGUGGAAAAUAUCCAUUAGGUAAAGUACAAUGACAUAGUUAAAAGAACAACAAAAUACUGCAUAAUGCAGUAAUUGUAAUGCAGUAUAUAUAGUACUAUGGUAUCGUAAUUGUAGUAUUCUAUAGCAAAAUAAAAGUAUAAUAAAAGUUCUGUAAUUUACUUCAGUAGAUUGUAGUUUAUGUAGUAAACUGUAGUAGUAUAUAAUGUAGUAUAUUGUAGUAAUAAAACUGCAGUUUUCUGUAGUAUACUAUAGUUUACUGUAGU
Long non-coding RNA from Gadus macrocephalus (Pacific cod), 2007 nucleotides. RefSeq lists it as uncharacterized. The transcript has 3 exons. The record is from RefSeq and is a predicted model, not a curated record. NCBI's taxonomy places the organism in Eukaryota, Metazoa, Chordata, Actinopteri, Gadiformes, Gadidae.